RNAcentral lists this transfer RNA (75 nucleotides) under Candidatus Nanohalarchaeota archaeon. Its description in RNAcentral is "Candidatus Nanohaloarchaeota archaeon tRNA-Pro". It matches the Rfam family "tRNA". Rfam says of the family: Transfer RNA (tRNA) molecules are approximately 80 nucleotides in length. Their secondary structure includes four short double-helical elements and three loops (D, anti-codon, and T loops). Lineage: Archaea; Nanobdellati; Candidatus Nanohalarchaeota. RNAcentral also lists the same sequence under 2 other names. The record is from RNAcentral.
GGAGUCUUGUGGUAGCUUGGUCCAUCCUCCGGGCUUUGGGAGCCUGGGACCCCGGUUCAAAUCCGGGAGACUUCA